CGUAUCAAAAGAUCUGAAAGCAAGGAUGAAAAAGCGGGUCAGAGAGAUAACAAAACGAAAUCGAGGAAGAGGGUUAAAGGCAAUCAAAUAAUUAACUCAAUAUAUUAGAGGACGGAAGUCGCCUCCUACUCGAUUAUUUUUUAAUAGCGCUAUUAAGCACGCUGAUUUAGACAAGAUGAACGUUCUUAUACUUUCUUUUAUUGAUGUAUAUCUUGAUUCUCUUCAUAAAUAAAUA
This 235-nucleotide unclassified non-coding RNA is filed under the name Aliivibrio wodanis. Its description in RNAcentral is "putative sRNA". The record is from RNAcentral. Lineage: Bacteria; Pseudomonadati; Pseudomonadota; Gammaproteobacteria; Vibrionales; Vibrionaceae.